Molecule: long non-coding RNA, 503 nt
Organism: Lagopus muta (rock ptarmigan)
Lineage: Eukaryota; Metazoa; Chordata; Aves; Galliformes; Phasianidae
Exons: 3
Source: RefSeq, a predicted model, not a curated record
ACCGCUCCCGAUCCGGGCUGCGGCGAAGCUGCGGGUGCGGGGAGCGCUCGGCACCGCUCGGUGAGGGGAGAACGGAGACAGCCGGGCUGGGGCGCCCGGGGGAGGGCACCGCUCCGGGGCCGCUGCAGCUUUACAGUAUCGGAUCUUGUAAGAGCCGCGCGUUUGGCAUCUGCAGCGCGGCAGCGGUUCAGACAGUGAGUGUGCUGGGAGCUGCCGCAGCAUUGUGUCAGUGGGGCCAGAUCUUGAAGAAAUCUGCCUGGGAGCUUUCAAGGGAGAAACCACAACAUGAAGGAGUGGGACGUGCUGCAAGCAUCUGAAGAGCUCUUUAGAUGACUUCAGAGCAUGAAGCACAUCUGCUGGCUCAGUGUGCUGGUGUGGCAGCAUCGAGACCUGCAGCUGAGACAGACUUCCUCAUAUACCAGCUGUUAGAUGUAACACCUCACAGAGAGGGCUGAAAAUUAAAAACAGAGAAGCUGCCAACUCCAUGGUGUCAAUUCAAUAAA